GCCCAGCCCCAAAGCCCCCAAGCCUGCCAAGUGCUUCUUACAUUCCUGAAAAAGGGACAGCACGAGUCGAAGAUAACAACUAAACCUACGACUCCCACACCACAGGACUUAUUUCCCUGGUCCACGACAAAGUCACAAAUCCACAUGAAAAAUGACUGUGCAGUGUGCCAAAACAAGCAACACGUUCGAGAACUGUAAUAUACAUCUACCAAACUCCGCAUCGAUCAGAUCUUUAUUAAAGCACCACAGCCAACUGCAUCGCCCACACUUUAAAGUAUACUACAAGAGAAGACGAAUCAAAUAACUACUGCCAAGACUGAAUGAAUGGAACGGUCGUUCUCGGAACGAGGGCCGAGGCAGGGGGAUCAGUGGGAUUGGAGGCGUCGAGGCGGGGCUCGUUCGGUCCCUGUUUCGCAUGCGCCUGCGGCACAGGAGGGGCCACAGCGGCCGACAGCUUCACUCCUCAAGAAAACGGGCCUAAGUGAAGGCAGGGUAGUUUCACUAGGGCGCAGGACACUAUUUCACGAAAGUCAGUGAAGACGCUGGGAGAGCCACCUAAAAGGCGCACUGUGACCAGGAGGCCCGCUCGGGUGCUAGGAACACCCCAUUGUCCUAAGCCUGAGGCCGGAACCAAACGAGCGGGAGGCAGGUCCUGUCCAGUCCUCUGGCUCUAUAGAGCCAUCUCAGGGCAGCGAUGUCAGAGGGGCAGGCAGUGUCAAGAAUCUCCAAGCAGGUUACGGGUGGGAAGCCAUCUCAGUAGGCGAAACCAGCAUGUGUCCUACUGUCUGGUCGGCAGAGCGCUAGCUCCAAAGCCACUAUUCCCUGCGCCCCUGGCCCCGGGCUCGCCUCGCGCUCUCUUCUGCCCACUCUCCCCCAGAACGAUCACUCCCACGCCACGUUGCUCCCGCACCCAUGAGGACGGGAUCCUCCUCCCCGGCGUUAGCUGCGCCCUGUUCUCGCUGCCUGAGCACCCUCUCCUUUCCUCCCCGCACCUCCUUCCUCUGCUUAGCC
RNAcentral lists this long non-coding RNA (1011 nucleotides) under Homo sapiens (human). Its description in RNAcentral is "HSALNT0283484". The record is from RNAcentral. Lineage: Eukaryota; Metazoa; Chordata; Mammalia; Primates; Hominidae.